This 76-nucleotide transfer RNA is filed under the name Thiohalospira halophila DSM 15071. Its description in RNAcentral is "tRNA_Phe_GAA". It matches the Rfam family "tRNA". From Rfam's summary of the family: Transfer RNA (tRNA) molecules are approximately 80 nucleotides in length. Their secondary structure includes four short double-helical elements and three loops (D, anti-codon, and T loops). RNAcentral also lists the same sequence under 2 other names. The record is from RNAcentral. Lineage: Bacteria; Pseudomonadati; Pseudomonadota; Gammaproteobacteria; Thiohalospirales; Thiohalospiraceae.
GGCCGGGUAGCUCAGCUGGUAGAGCACGCGACUGAAAAUCGCGGUGUCGGCAGUUCGACUCUGUCCCCGGCCACCA